GUGCUCCCUGUGGCAGCACAUACACUAAAAAUUAGAGCAACACAGAGAAGAUUAGCAUGGCCCCCGUGCAGGGAUCACACUCAAAUUUGUGAAGCAUAGGGCUGCCUU
RNAcentral lists this small nuclear RNA (108 nucleotides) under Meriones unguiculatus (Mongolian gerbil). The record is from RNAcentral. Lineage: Eukaryota; Metazoa; Chordata; Mammalia; Rodentia; Muridae.